This is a non-coding RNA of Caenorhabditis elegans, 21 nucleotides long. The record is from Ensembl. Lineage: Eukaryota; Metazoa; Nematoda; Chromadorea; Rhabditida; Rhabditidae.
UAACUUGCCUUGUUCGAAUGA